Molecule: non-coding RNA, 379 nt
Organism: Thamnophis sirtalis
Lineage: Eukaryota; Metazoa; Chordata; Lepidosauria; Squamata; Natricidae
Source: the annotation of a RefSeq genome assembly
CUCAAGACUCACCUGGCCAUUUCUUCCUGUCUUGUUACUUACAGGGGCAUCAGCCCAAUUUGUAUUGACUCAACCAGCUUCCUUGUCAGCACGUCUUGAAGGAAAGAUCCAGAUCUCCUGCACGAGGAGCAGUGGAGCUCUGUCUGGCUACUAUGUGUCCUGGUAUCAGCAGAAAUCCAUCAAGCCACCCAAACUACUGAUUUAUCAGCACGUCUACAGGCCUGCUGAUGUUCCAGACCGAUUCUCUGGGGCAACCGACAGUUCCAGAGCUACUUUAACAAUUACGGGUGUUCAACCAGAAGACGAGGCAAAAUAUUAUUGUCAGUCUUAUGACAGCAACUGGAUGUUUCACAGUGAUGCCACCUGCACAGGGAAGUGA